Non-coding RNA from Benincasa hispida (wax gourd), 1059 nucleotides. The record is from RefSeq and is a predicted model, not a curated record. Lineage: Eukaryota; Viridiplantae; Streptophyta; Magnoliopsida; Cucurbitales; Cucurbitaceae.
UUCUCUCUAACUUGUCUCUAAAAAUUUUCAACCAUUUUCCUCCUCAAAAGUUCUUGGAGACCACUAUUCCAAGUUCUUUAGAAUCCUAGAGAAUAACAAGGUAACUUUGUUAGUGGUGUCCUUCAUUGGAAAGGUUUGAGAUCGUUGAUAACGGUAGAAGAGGAAAGUUAGAAGAAUCAAGAAAAGUUAUCCUUCGAACAAAUUUGUUGUACAGUGGUAUCGUUAUUUUCUUCAAGAUCAUGAGUGUCGAAAAGCUCAGGUAUCUUAAAUCCUUUUUGAGAUUCUAAUGUAAGUAUCAUUAUCAAGAGAUCCAUAUAAAUAUGUUGCGAUAAAAUCUAUAAGAUGCAUGUCCAAACUUUCAUACACGGUCAGACCAACUAAAAAUCUUAAUGUAAUUGCAUCUACCACUAGAGAAUAUGUCUCCUUAUAAUUAAUACCAGGUUUUUGUGAAAAACUUAUUGCAACUAGUCUUGUUUUAUAUCUUGCAACUUCAUUACUUUUAUUUCUUUUUCUCACAAAUACUCAUUUGUAUCCCUCGGGUUUCACACCUUCUAGUGUUCAAACUACUGGUCCAAAAACCUGACAUUUUAAAAGUGGGUUUAAUUCUACUUUGAUUGUUUCUUUCUGCUGAAGCCAAUCUUUUCUAUGUCGACAAUCUUAAACAAAUUUUAGUUCAAGAACUUUAUUUUUAGAUAUAAUAUCAAGAGCAACAUUAUACGUAAAAAUAUUUUCAAUAACUACAUUAGUUUGGUUCCAUAUUUUUCCUGUCAUGACAUAGUUUAUUGAAAUGUCAUUAUUAUCUUUAAGUAUUUCAUUUUCACUACCCCUACUAUAGUCACGUCUAAGGUUUCUUCAUAGAUAUUUACAUCCUCAACCAAGUCCUUUUGAUUAUUAAUUAUUUUUCUUUUUCAAGGAUUUUUAUCUCUAAAACCCGUUGGUCUACCAUGCUUCUGAUGUGUUCCAGAUUCAUUAGUGAAAACUUGUUGUGUUGGGAUAUCAAUUUUUUAUGGAACAUUUGUAGCUGAUAUAUGUGACUUAGUUACUUCAUUGCAUCUAUAA